Molecule: ribosomal RNA, 254 nt
Filed under: uncultured bacterium
Lineage: Bacteria
Description: partial 16S ribosomal RNA
Rfam family: Bacterial small subunit ribosomal RNA
Source: RNAcentral
CACGUAGGGGGCAAGCGUUGUCCGGAUUUAUUGGGCGUAAAGAGCUCGUAGGCGGCUCAGUAAGUCGGGUGUGAAACCUCCAGGCUCAACCUGGAGACGCCACCUGAUACUGCUGUGGCUAGAGUCCGGUAGGGGAGCGUGGAAUUCCUGGUGUAGCGGUGAAAUGCGCAGAUAUCAGGAGGAACACCGAUGGCGAAGGCAGCUCUCUGGGACGGUACUGACGCUGAGACGCGAAAGCGUGGGGAGCGAACAGG